RNAcentral lists this ribosomal RNA (253 nucleotides) under uncultured bacterium. Its description in RNAcentral is "partial 16S ribosomal RNA". It matches the Rfam family "Bacterial small subunit ribosomal RNA", at positions 524 to 776 of the family's 1533-position model. The record is from RNAcentral.
UACGUAGGGUGCGAGCGUUGUCCGGAAUUAUUGGGCGUAAAGAGCUUGUAGGCGGUCUGUCGCGUCUGCUGUGAAAAUCCGGGGCUCAACCCCGGACUUGCAGUGGGUACGGGCAGACUAGAGUGUGGUAGGGGAGACUGGAAUUCCUGGUGUAACGGUGAAAUGCGCAGAUAUCAGGAGGAACACCGGUGGCGAAGGCGCCACUCUGGGCCGAAACUGACGCUGAGGAGCGAAAGCGUGGGUAGCAAACAGG